GACGAACGCUGGCGGCGUGCUUAACACAUGCAAGUCGAACGGAAAGGCCCUGCUUUUGUGGUGUGCUCGAGUGGCGAACGGGUGAGUAACACGUGAGUAACCUGCCCUUGACUUUGGGAUAACUUCAGGAAACUGGGGCUAAUACCGGAUAGGAGCUCCUGCUGCAUGGUGGGGGUUGGAAAGUUUCGGCGGUUGGGGAUGGACUCGCGGCUUAUCAGCUUGUUGGUGGGGUAGUGGCUUACCAAGGCUUUGACGGGUAGCCGGCCUGAGAGGGUGACCGGCCACAUUGGGACUGAGAUACGGCGCAGACUCCUACGGGAGGCAGCAGUGGGGAAUAUUGCACAAUGGGCGGAAGCCUGAUGCAGCAACGCCGCGUGCGGGAUGACGGCCUUCGGGUUGUAAACCGCUUUCGCCUGUGACGAAGCGUGAGUGACGGUAAUGGGUAAAGAAGCACCGGCUAACUACGUG
Molecule: ribosomal RNA, 468 nt
Filed under: uncultured bacterium
Lineage: Bacteria
Description: partial 16S ribosomal RNA
Rfam family: Bacterial small subunit ribosomal RNA
Source: RNAcentral